RNAcentral lists this ribosomal RNA (400 nucleotides) under uncultured bacterium. RNAcentral's name for it is "bacterial SSU rRNA". It matches the Rfam family "Bacterial small subunit ribosomal RNA", at positions 355 to 752 of the family's 1533-position model. The record is from RNAcentral.
UGAGGAAUAUUGGUCAAUGGGCGCAAGCCUGAACCAGCCAUCCCGCGUGAAGGAUGAAGGUCCUAUGGAUUGUAAACUUCUUUUAUACACCAAGAAAAAUCCCGACGAGUCGGGACCCGACGGUAGUGUAUGAAUAAGCAUCGGCUAACUCCGUGCCAGCAGCCGCGGUAAUACGGAGGAUGCAAGCGUUAUCCGGAUUCAUUGGGUUUAAAGGGUGCGUAGGCGGCUUUUUAAGUCAGUGGUGAAAUCCUGCCGCUUAACGGUAGAAUUGCCAUUGAUACUGAGAAGCUUGAGUACAAUUGAGGUAAGCGGAAUGUGUAGUGUAGCGGUGAAAUGCUUAGAUAUUACACAGAACACCAAUUGCGAAGGCAGCUUACUAAACUGUUACUGACGCUGAUGC